ACGAACGCUGGCGGCGUGCCUAAUACAUGCAAGUAGAACGCACAGUUUAUACCGUAGCUUGCUACACCAUAGACUGUGAGUUGCGAACGGGUGAGUAACGCGUAGGUAACCUGCCUGGUAGCGGGGGAUAACUAUUGUAAACGAUAGCUAAUACCGCAUAAUAUUAAUUAUUGCAUGAUAAUUAAUUGAAAGGUGCAAUUGCACCACUACCAGAUGGACCUGCGUUGUAUUAGCUAGUAGGUGAGGUAACGGCUCACCUAGGCGACGAUACAUAGCCGACCUGAGAGGGUGAUCGGCCACACUGGGACUGAGACGCGGCCCAGACUCCUACGGGAGGCAGCAGUAGGGAAUCUUCGGCAAUGGACGAAAGUCUGACCGAGCAACGCCGCGUGAGUGAAGAAGGUUUUCGGAUCGUAAAGCUCUGUUGUAAGAGAAGAACGGGUGUGAGAGUGGAAAGUUCACACUGUGACGGUAUCUUACCAGAAAGGGACGGCUAACUACGUG
Molecule: ribosomal RNA, 504 nt
Filed under: uncultured bacterium
Lineage: Bacteria
Description: partial 16S ribosomal RNA
Rfam family: Bacterial small subunit ribosomal RNA
Source: RNAcentral